This 319-nucleotide small RNA is filed under the name Priestia koreensis. Its description in RNAcentral is "Bacillus koreensis cspA thermoregulator". It matches the Rfam family "cspA thermoregulator", at positions 79 to 428 of the family's 428-position model. Lineage: Bacteria; Bacillati; Bacillota; Bacilli; Caryophanales; Bacillaceae. The record is from Rfam by way of RNAcentral.
GCUAGUUUUUUCUUGAAAUAGUAUGUUUGGGCAAGAUUGGUAAUACAUUUGUGGAUCAUACCACAGCAGGAGGAAAUAUUAUGACACAAGGUACAGUAAAAUGGUUUAACGCAGACAAAGGUUUCGGUUUCAUCGAAGUUGAAGGCGGAGACGAUGUAUUCGUACAUUUCAGCGCUAUCCAAGGUGAAGGUUUCAAAUCAUUAGAAGAAGGUCAAAAAGUUACUUUUGACAUCGAGCAAGGUCAACGCGGAGCACAAGCUGCUAACGUUAACAAAGCAUAAUAAAACAAAAAAGACUCCUUUAUAGGAGUCUUUUUUUU